UUUGUGGGGAAAUACCAUGUUGUAAAUUAAUUAACCUGUGCUGUGAUCCAGUCAGAGCAUCAGACUGGGUCAUUGCUUGGAUGGGAGACCUCCAAGGAAAACUCGGGGCCUGCAAAG
This 117-nucleotide ribosomal RNA is filed under the name Chelonoidis abingdonii (Abingdon island giant tortoise). The record is from RNAcentral. Lineage: Eukaryota; Metazoa; Chordata; Testudines; Testudinidae.